This 254-nucleotide ribosomal RNA is filed under the name uncultured bacterium. RNAcentral describes it as "partial 16S ribosomal RNA". It matches the Rfam family "Archaeal small subunit ribosomal RNA", at positions 474 to 727 of the family's 1478-position model. The record is from RNAcentral.
UACCGGCGGCUCGAGUGGUGGCCACUAUUACUGGGCUUAAAGCGUUCGUAGCUGGUCUGUUAAGUCUCUGGGGAAAUCUACUGGCUUAACCAAUAGACGUUUCAGGGAUACUGGCAGACUAGGGACCGGGAGAGGUGAGAGGUACUCCAGGGGUAGGAGUGAAAUCCUGUAAUCCUUGGGGGACCACCUGUGGCGAAGGCGUCUCACCAGAACGGCUCCGACAGUGAGGGACGAAAGCUGGGGGAGCAAACCGG